GCAAGUCGAACGGUAACAUGUCUAGCUGGUUAGAAGAUGACGAGUGGCGGACGGGUGAGGAAUGCUUAGGAAUUGGCAUUUAGGUGGGGGACAACAGUUGGAAACGACUGCUAAUACCGCUUGAGAGCUACGGCUCAAGGGGGGAUUCGGCUCCCGCCAUUAGAGAAGCCCAAGUCGGAUUAGGUAGGUGGUGAGGUAACGGCUCACCAAGCCAACGAUCCCUAGCUGGUCUGAGAGGACGAUC
RNAcentral lists this ribosomal RNA (244 nucleotides) under uncultured bacterium. Its description in RNAcentral is "partial 16S ribosomal RNA". It matches the Rfam family "Bacterial small subunit ribosomal RNA", at positions 57 to 305 of the family's 1533-position model. The record is from RNAcentral.